RNAcentral lists this ribosomal RNA (322 nucleotides) under uncultured eukaryote. RNAcentral describes it as "partial 18S ribosomal RNA". It matches the Rfam family "Eukaryotic small subunit ribosomal RNA", at positions 1470 to 1796 of the family's 1831-position model. The record is from RNAcentral.
CCCUUAGAUGUUCUGGGCCGCACGCGUGCUACACUGAGUAAUUCAAUGGGUAAGGGAACGCUAGAGCAUUACCUAAUCUUGAAAUUUGCUCGUGAUGGGGAUCGACGGUUGCAAUUUUCCGUCGUGAACGAGGAAUACCUUGUAGGCGCAUGUCAUCAUCAUGCGCCGAAUACGUCCCUGCCCUUUGUACACACCGCCCGUCGCUCCUACCGAUUGAGUGAUCCGGUGAGGCUCUGGGACCUGGACGGAAAGAGCGUUUCGCUUGUUCUGUUUGGGAAACUUGGUCGAACCUUAUCAUUUAGAGGAAGGAGAAGGCGGAACA